GUACUGCUGAGGAGUCCCAUAAUAGGAUGAAACGGCCGUCCACUGCAU
Schistosoma mansoni is the source of this 48-nucleotide non-coding RNA. The record is from Rfam. NCBI's taxonomy places the organism in Eukaryota, Metazoa, Platyhelminthes, Trematoda, Strigeidida, Schistosomatidae.